GAUGAACGCUGGCGGCGUGCCUAAUACAUGCAAGUCGAGCGAACAGACGAGGAGCUUGCUCCUCUGACGUUAGCGGCGGACGGGUGAGUAACACGUGGAUAACCUACCUAUAAGACUGGGAUAACUUCGGGAAACCGGAGCUAAUACCGGAUAAUAUAUUGAACCGCAGGGUUCAAUAGUGAAAGACGGUUUUGCUGUCACUUAUAGAUGGAUCCGCGCCGCAUUAGCUAGUUGGUAAGGUAACGGCUUACCAAGGCAACGAUGCGUAGCCGACCUGAGAGGGUGAUCGGCCACACUGGAACUGAGACACGGUCAAGACUCCUACGGGAGGCAGCAGUAGGGAAUCUUCCGCAAUGGGCGAAAGCUUGACGGAGCAACGCCGCGUGAGUGAUGAAGGUCUUCGGAUCGUAAAACUCUGUUAUUAGGGAAGAACAAAUGUGUAAGUAACUAUGCACGUCUUGACGGUACCUAAUCAGAAAGCCACGGCUAACUACGUG
RNAcentral lists this ribosomal RNA (497 nucleotides) under uncultured bacterium. RNAcentral's name for it is "partial 16S ribosomal RNA". It matches the Rfam family "Bacterial small subunit ribosomal RNA", at positions 28 to 507 of the family's 1533-position model. The record is from RNAcentral.